GACGAACGCUGGCGGCGUGCUUAACACAUGCAAGUCACGGGGGCUCGCAAGAGCAACCGGCGAACGGGUGCGUAACACGUGAGCAACCUACCGAUUUGUGGGGGAUAGCUGGCCUAACGGCCAGGUAAUACCGCAUACGCUCACCGGGUCUCCUGACCUGGUGAGGAAACCUCCGGGGCAAAUCGAGGGGCUCGCGGCCUAUCAGCUAGUUGGCGAGGUCAUGGCUCACCAAGGCGACGACGGGUAGCUGGUCUGAGAGGAUGGCCAGCCACAUUGGGACUGAGAAACGGCCCAGACUCCUACGGGAGGCAGCAGUGGGGAAUCUUGCGCAAUGGACGAAAGUCUGACGCAGCGACGCCGCGUGGGGGAUGAAGGCUUUCGGGUUGUAAACCCCUGUUGCCCGGGACGAACUUCCUGUUUCGUACAGGAUUGACGGUACCGGGUGAGGAAGCACCGGGCUAAC
Molecule: ribosomal RNA, 463 nt
Filed under: uncultured bacterium
Lineage: Bacteria
Description: bacterial SSU rRNA
Rfam family: Bacterial small subunit ribosomal RNA
Source: RNAcentral